UACGGAGGGUGCAAGCGUUAAUCGGAAUUACUGGGCGUAAAGCGUGCGCAGGCGGUUUGUUAAGUCCGUUGUGAAAGCCCCGAGCUCAACUUGGGAAUUGCAGUGGAUACUGGCAGGCUGGAGUACGGUAGAGGAAGGUGGAAUUCCCGGUGUAGCAGUGAAAUGCGUAGAUAUCGGGAGGAACACCAGUGGCGAAGGCGGCCUGCUGGGCUGCACCUGACGCUGAGCCGCGAAAGCCAGGGGAGCGAACGGG
This 253-nucleotide ribosomal RNA is filed under the name uncultured bacterium. Its description in RNAcentral is "partial 16S ribosomal RNA". It matches the Rfam family "Bacterial small subunit ribosomal RNA", at positions 524 to 776 of the family's 1533-position model. The record is from RNAcentral.